UCAAUUGGAGAAGCAAGAUGAUGUUGGGGU
Molecule: non-coding RNA, 30 nt
Filed under: Rattus norvegicus (Norway rat)
Lineage: Eukaryota; Metazoa; Chordata; Mammalia; Rodentia; Muridae
Source: RNAcentral